Molecule: ribosomal RNA, 460 nt
Filed under: uncultured bacterium
Lineage: Bacteria
Description: partial 16S ribosomal RNA
Rfam family: Bacterial small subunit ribosomal RNA
Source: RNAcentral
CCUACGGGAGGCAGCAGUGAGGAAUAUUGGUCAAUGGGCGCGAGCCUGAACCAGCCAAGUAGCGUGAAGGAUGACUGCCCUACGGGUUGUAAACUUCUUUUAUAAAGGAAUAAAGUGAGGCACGUGUGCCUUUUUGUAUGUACUUUAUGAAUAAGGAUCGGAUAACGACGUGCCAGCAGCCGCGGUAAUACGGAGGAUCCGAGCGUUAUCCGGAUUUAGUGGGGUUAAAGGGAGCGGAGAUGGGUUGUUAAGUCAGUUGUGAAAGUUUGCGGCUCAACCGUAAAAUUGCAAUUGAUACUGGCAGUCUUGAGUACAGUUGAGGUAGGCGUAAUUCGUGGUGUAGCGGUGAAAUGCUUAGAUAUCACGAAGAACUCCGAUUGCGAAGGCAGCUUACUAAACUGCCACUGACAUUGAUGCUCGAAAGUGUGGGUAUCAAACAGGAUUAGAUACCCUGGUAGUC